AGAGUUUGAUUAUGGCUCAGGAUGAACGCUAGCGGCAGGCUUAACACAUGCAAGUCGAGGGGCAGCGAGAGAGUAGCAAUACUCGUUGUCGGCGACCGGCGCACGGGUGAGUAACGCGUAUGCAACCCUUCCCAGACAGGGGGAUAGCCCAGGGAAACUUGGAUUAAUACCCCCGUAGGCCGAGUGGCGGCAUCGCCGUUCGGUUAAAGUUCCGGCGGUCUGGGGUGGCAUGCGUGCCAUUAGGCAGUUGCGGGGUAACGGCCCACCAAACCGACGAUGGCUACGGGGGUCUAAAAGGAUGGUCCCGCACAUUGGAACUGAGACACGGUCCAAACUCCUACGGGAGGCAGCAGUGAGGAAUAUUGGUCAAUGGGGGGAACCCUGAACCAGCCAUGCCCGCGUGGAGGAAGACGGCCCUACGGGUUGUAAACUCCUUUAGCACGGGAAUAAACUCGGCCACGCGUGGCCGACUGAAGGUACCGUGAGAAUAAGCAUCGGCUAACUCCGUGCCAGCCGCUGC
This 520-nucleotide ribosomal RNA is filed under the name uncultured bacterium. RNAcentral's name for it is "bacterial SSU rRNA". It matches the Rfam family "Bacterial small subunit ribosomal RNA", at positions 8 to 518 of the family's 1533-position model. The record is from RNAcentral.